GCUCAAAUUUGAAAUCUGGCUUCGGCCCGAGUUGUAAUUUGCAGAGGAUGUUUAUGGUGCGGUACUUUCCGAGUUCCCUGGAACGGGACGCCACAGAGGGUGAGAGCCCCGUCUGGAUGGAUACCAAACCUGUGUUAAACUCCUUCAACGAGUCGAGUAGUUUGGGAAUGCUGCUCUAAAUGGGAGGUAAAUCUCUUCUAAAGCUAAAUAUAGGCCAGAGACCGAUAGCGCACAAGUAGAGUGAUCGAAAGAUGAAAAGCACCUUGAAAAGGGGGUUAAACAGUACGUGAAAUUGUUGAAAGGGAAGCGUUUAUGACCAGACUUGUGUCGUGUGGCUCAUCCGAGGUUCUCCCCGGUGCACUCCACACGGCUCAGGCCAACAUCGGUUUUUGUCGAAGGAUAAGAAUAGUAGGAACGUAGCUCUUCCUCGGAAGAGUGUUAUAGCCUAGUGUAUACGAUACUUUGAUAGAGACCGAGGACCG
RNAcentral lists this ribosomal RNA (482 nucleotides) under Apiognomonia errabunda. Its description in RNAcentral is "eukaryotic LSU rRNA". It matches the Rfam family "Eukaryotic large subunit ribosomal RNA", at positions 107 to 602 of the family's 3401-position model. The record is from RNAcentral. Lineage: Eukaryota; Fungi; Ascomycota; Sordariomycetes; Diaporthales; Gnomoniaceae.